RNAcentral lists this ribosomal RNA (499 nucleotides) under uncultured bacterium. Its description in RNAcentral is "bacterial SSU rRNA". It matches the Rfam family "Bacterial small subunit ribosomal RNA", at positions 28 to 525 of the family's 1533-position model. The record is from RNAcentral.
GAUGAACGCUAGCGGCAGGCUUAACACAUGCAAGUCGAGGGGUAGAGGAAGCUUGCUUCCUUGAGACCGGCGCACGGGUGCGUAACGCGUAUACAAUCUACCUUUUACAGAGGGAUAGCCCCAGAGAAAUUUGGAUUAAUACCUCAUAGUAUUUUCGGAUCGCAUGAUUUGAUUAUUAAAGUUCCAACGGUAAAAGAUGAGUAUGCGUCCCAUUAGCUAGAUGGUAAGGUAACGGCUUACCAUGGCAAUGAUGGGUAGGGGUCCUGAGAGGGAGAUCCCCCACACUGGUACUGAGACACGGACCAGACUCCUACGGGAGGCAGCAGUGAGGAAUAUUGGACAAUGGGCGCAAGCCUGAUCCAGCCAUGCCGCGUGCAGGAAUAAGGUCCUAUGGAUUGUAAACUGCUUUUAUACAGGAAGAAACACACCCUCGUGAGGGUACUUGACGGUACUGUAUGAAUAAGGACCGGCUAACUCCGUGCCAGCAGCCGCGGUAAAG